This 342-nucleotide unclassified non-coding RNA is filed under the name soil metagenome. RNAcentral's name for it is "partial contains 5.8S ribosomal RNA, internal transcribed spacer 2, and large subunit ribosomal RNA". The stretch from base 1 to 120 matches the Rfam family "5.8S ribosomal RNA", at positions 35 to 154 of the family's 154-position model. The record is from RNAcentral.
GAUGAAGAACGUAGCGAAAUGCGAUAAGUGAUGUGAAUUGCAGAAUUCAGUGAAUCAUCGAAUCUUUGAACGCACAUUGCGCCCGCCAGCACUCUGGCGGGCAUGCCUGUUCGAGCGUCAUUUCAACCAUCAAGCCCCCAGGGGCUUGUGCUGGGGCCCUGCGGCUGCCCGCAGGCCCUGAAAACCAGUGGCGGGCUCGCUAGUCACACCGAGCGCAGUAGCACAUCUCGCUCAGGGCGUGCGGCGGGCUCCUGCCGUGAAACCCCCCACUGUAACCCCAAAGGUUGACCUCGGAUCAGGUAGGAAUACCCGCUGAACUUAAGCAUAUCAAUAAGCGGAGGA